This 253-nucleotide ribosomal RNA is filed under the name uncultured bacterium. Its description in RNAcentral is "partial 16S ribosomal RNA". It matches the Rfam family "Bacterial small subunit ribosomal RNA", at positions 524 to 776 of the family's 1533-position model. The record is from RNAcentral.
UACGUAUGUGGCGAGCGUUGUCCGGAUUUACUGGGCUUAAAGAGUCCGUAGGCGGCGCGGAAAGUGGGGUGUGAAAGCCCUCGGCUUAACCGAGGAAUUGCGCUCCAAACUGCCGUGCUCGAGGAACCUAGAGGUGAGCAGAACUGAUGGUGGAGCGGUGAAAUGCGUUGAUAUCAUCAGGAAUACCGGAGGCGAAGGCGGCUCACUGGGGGUUUUCUGACGCUGAGGGACGAAAGCCAGGGUAGCGAACGGG